RNAcentral lists this transfer RNA (66 nucleotides) under Melipona bicolor. Its description in RNAcentral is "tRNA-Gly". Lineage: Eukaryota; Metazoa; Arthropoda; Insecta; Hymenoptera; Apidae. The record is from RNAcentral.
AUAUAUAUAGUAUAAUCAAUUACAUUUAAUUUCCAAUUAAAAAAUUUAUAAUUUUUAAUAUAUAUA